UGUCCGGAAUUAUUGGGCGUAAAGAGCUCGUAGGCGGCCAGUUGCGUCCGCUGUGAAAUCCCAGGGCUCAACCCUGGGCGUGCAGUGGAUACGGGCAGGCUGGAGGCAGGCAGGGGAGAACGGAAUUCCCGGUGUAGCGGUGAAAUGCGCAGAUAUCGGGAGGAACACCGGUGGCGAAGGCGGUUCUCUGGGCCUGUACUGACGCUGAGGAGCGAAAGCGUGGGGAGCGAACAGG
RNAcentral lists this ribosomal RNA (235 nucleotides) under uncultured bacterium. RNAcentral's name for it is "partial 16S ribosomal RNA". It matches the Rfam family "Bacterial small subunit ribosomal RNA", at positions 542 to 776 of the family's 1533-position model. The record is from RNAcentral.